Molecule: ribosomal RNA, 1551 nt
Filed under: Klebsiella pneumoniae
Lineage: Bacteria; Pseudomonadati; Pseudomonadota; Gammaproteobacteria; Enterobacterales; Enterobacteriaceae
Description: bacterial SSU rRNA
Rfam family: Bacterial small subunit ribosomal RNA
Source: RNAcentral
AAAUUGAAGAGUUUGAUCAUGGCUCAGAUUGAACGCUGGCGGCAGGCCUAACACAUGCAAGUCGAGCGGUAGCACAGAGAGCUUGCUCUCGGGUGACGAGCGGCGGACGGGUGAGUAAUGUCUGGGAAACUGCCUGAUGGAGGGGGGAUAACUACUGGAAACGGUAGCUAAUACCGCAUAAUGUCGCAAGACCAAAGUGGGGGACCUUCGGGCCUCAUGCCAUCAGAUGUGCCCAGAUGGGAUUAGCUAGUAGGUGGGGUAACGGCUCACCUAGGCGACGAUCCCUAGCUGGUCUGAGAGGAUGACCAGCCACACUGGAACUGAGACACGGUCCAGACUCCUACGGGAGGCAGCAGUGGGGAAUAUUGCACAAUGGGCGCAAGCCUGAUGCAGCCAUGCCGCGUGUGUGAAGAAGGCCUUCGGGUUGUAAAGCACUUUCAGCGGGGAGGAAGGCGUUAAGGUUAAUAACCUUGGCGAUUGACGUUACCCGCAGAAGAAGCACCGGCUAACUCCGUGCCAGCAGCCGCGGUAAUACGGAGGGUGCAAGCGUUAAUCGGAAUUACUGGGCGUAAAGCGCACGCAGGCGGUCUGUCAAGUCGGAUGUGAAAUCCCCGGGCUCAACCUGGGAACUGCAUUCGAAACUGGCAGGCUAGAGUCUUGUAGAGGGGGGUAGAAUUCCAGGUGUAGCGGUGAAAUGCGUAGAGAUCUGGAGGAAUACCGGUGGCGAAGGCGGCCCGCUGGACAAAGACUGACGCUCAGGUGCGAAAGCGUGGGGAGCAAACAGGAUUAGAUACCCUGGUAGUCCACGCCGUAAACGAUGUCGAUUUGGAGGUUGUGCCCUUGAGGCGUGGCUUCCGGAGCUAACGCGUUAAAUCGACCGCCUGGGGAGUACGGCCGCAAGGUUAAAACUCAAAUGAAUUGACGGGGGCCCGCACAAGCGGUGGAGCAUGUGGUUUAAUUCGAUGCAACGCGAAGAACCUUACCUGGUCUUGACAUCCACAGAACUUUCCAGAGAUGGAUUGGUGCCUUCGGGAACUGUGAGACAGGUGCUGCAUGGCUGUCGUCAGCUCGUGUUGUGAAAUGUUGGGUUAAGUCCCGCAACGAGCGCAACCCUUAUCCUUUGUUGCCAGCGGUUCGGCCGGGAACUCAAAGGAGACUGCCAGUGAUAAACUGGAGGAAGGUGGGGAUGACGUCAAGUCAUCAUGGCCCUUACGACCAGGGCUACACACGUGCUACAAUGGCAUAUACAAAGAGAAGCGACCUCGCGAGAGCAAGCGGACCUCAUAAAGUAUGUCGUAGUCCGGAUUGGAGUCUGCAACUCGACUCCAUGAAGUCGGAAUCGCUAGUAAUCGUAGAUCAGAAUGCUACGGUGAAUACGUUCCCGGGCCUUGUACACACCGCCCGUCACACCAUGGGAGUGGGUUGAAAAAGAAGUAGGUAGCUUAACCUUCGGGAGGGCGCUUACCACUUUGUGAUUCAUGACUGGGGUGAAGUCGUAACAAGGUAACCGUAGGGGAACCUGCGGUUGGAUCACCUCCUUACCUUAAAGAA